UNCCCGUGAGGGAAAGUUGAAAAGANCUUUGAAAGAGAGAGUUCAAGAGUACGUGAAANCCGUUCAGGGGUAAACCUGAGAAACCUAAAAAGAUCGAAUGGGGAGAUUCAACGUCAGCGAUUUUGGCUUUCGUGUGGUUCGUGAACUGCGUUAUGUCCAAAGUCGUUGGCGUGCACUUCUCCCCCUAGUAGGACGUCGUGACCCGUUGGGUGUUGGUUUACGGUCUGGGUGGUUGCCUGUUCCAAUGGAGCAGACCCCCGACCUGACCAACUGCCUGGCGGUAGUAUCGGGCCGCAUGCGUCGGGCCCGUCGCAAGCUAGAUCAGUGUGGAGGUGCGGACCUAGUGCCGUCCCCGGCUGGUCGGCUGUUGGUCGACGGUGUUCUCGGACAGGCUACCGGUCGGCGACGCUACUGCUUUAGGUACUUUCAGGACCCGUCUUGAAACACGGACCAAGGAGUCUAACAUGUGCGCGAGUCAUUGGGAAAAACCUAAAGGCGUAAUGAAAGUGAAGGUCGAUCUUGCGUCGACUGAGGGGAGGAUGGGCUGUGUCACGAUGCAGCCCCGCACUCCCGGGGCGU
This 579-nucleotide ribosomal RNA is filed under the name Synergini sp. AHL-2018. RNAcentral's name for it is "eukaryotic LSU rRNA". It matches the Rfam family "Eukaryotic large subunit ribosomal RNA", at positions 348 to 769 of the family's 3401-position model. The record is from RNAcentral. Lineage: Eukaryota; Metazoa; Arthropoda; Insecta; Hymenoptera; Cynipidae.